This 497-nucleotide ribosomal RNA is filed under the name uncultured bacterium. Its description in RNAcentral is "partial 16S ribosomal RNA". It matches the Rfam family "Bacterial small subunit ribosomal RNA", at positions 28 to 507 of the family's 1533-position model. The record is from RNAcentral.
GAUGAACGCUGGCGGCGUGCCUAAUACAUGCAAGUCGAGCGAACAGACGAGGAGCUUGCUCCUCUGACGUUAGCGGCGGACGGGUGAGUAACACGUGGAUAACCUACCUAUAAGACUGGGAUAACUUCGGGAAACCGGAGCUAAUACCGGAUAAUAUAUUGAACCGCAUGGUUCAAUAGUGAAAGACGGUUUUGCUGUCACUUAUAGAUGGAUCCGCGCCGCAUUAGCUAGUUGGUAAGGUAACGGCUUACCAAGGCAACGAUGCGUAGCCGACCUGAGAGGGUGAUCGGCCACACUGGAACUGAGACACGGUCCAGACUCCUACGGGAGGCAGCAGUAGGGAAUUUUCCGCAAAGGGCGAAAGCUUGACGGAGCAACGCCGCGUGAGUGAUGAAGGUCUUCGGAUCGUAAAACUCUGUUAUUAGGGAAGAACAAAUGUGUAAGUAACUAUGCACGUCUUGACGGUACCUAAUCAGAAAGCCACGGCUAACUACGUG